GGCAUUUAUGAGUUUGUUUAUUGAUAAUUUCAGCUUUAAAAACUAGAGGCUCUAAAGAGCCUGUGUCGCUCACCUUGGUCUAUGUGAAUAUUAAACAAAGGAAGCAGAUGGAUUCAUGACAAAGUUGUGUUUUGGUGAUAGUGAUGUGUUUGUAAAUCUUACUUUACUAAACAGUCUUGCUGCUUACAAUUAUUUCUAUCUAUAAUGAACUUGGCCCAGUAGUUUCAGUGGAAAUGUUAAUAAAAAUUUACAAAUUUUAUAAAAAUUUUAUAAAAAUUGACUAUAAAGGACAAUAACUCCUUAGGGGGUCAAUUGACCAUUUCGGUCAUGUUGACUUAUUUGUAAAUCUUACUUUGCUGAACAUGAUUGCUGGGUACAAUUUAUCUUUAUCUAUAAUAAUAUUCAAGAUAACAACC
RNAcentral lists this long non-coding RNA (416 nucleotides) under Mytilus galloprovincialis (Mediterranean mussel). The record is from RNAcentral. Lineage: Eukaryota; Metazoa; Mollusca; Bivalvia; Mytilida; Mytilidae.